Molecule: non-coding RNA, 2147 nt
Organism: Camellia sinensis
Lineage: Eukaryota; Viridiplantae; Streptophyta; Magnoliopsida; Ericales; Theaceae
Source: RefSeq, a predicted model, not a curated record
AGUAUGAACACGUUUACCAGAUCCAAGCGCUCGUAGGUGGAAGUAUGUUGAUGCCUCCGUUAAGGAGGCGAUGUUUCAACGCUUGAAUGAUCAAUUUGAUUUACAAGGAGACCAUAUUGAUAUAGAAAAGGAAAUGAACACAAAAUUUGGUCAGAGAUUGAGUAACCAUACCUAUAGGUUGCACAAACAAUUCAUGGAGCUAAAAGAGGCUAAAGGGGAGGAGUAUGCAAGAAACCACCACUGAAGGAUAUCGAUCCUACUAGGUGGAUAGAUCUUAUUGAUAAAAAGUGGAACACUAAAGAAUUUUUGGUAACAUUUUCAUCUUUUUUAUUAUAUCAGUGAAGAAAGAAUUUGAUUAGAAUAGGGAGAGAUUCUAAAAAAACUAGAAAGAACACAAUCAAUUUGCUAUGAAAUUCUAUAUGUAUUCUUUUCCCUUUAGCUUCUAGGCAUGUAAGUGAAACAUAAUAAAAACCAAAUAAGUGGGAAAAUGAGAAAGGGAAACUAGUAAACAUGGAUUGGAAGGCUCACAUAAUAGGAGAUUAAUUUAUGGUUUCUUAAAGUGCACCUUUCACAUCUUAGAAUAAAAAACUAAGAUUUCAGUUUCUAUGAAUGUAUUUCCUGUUUGUUCUUGGGCUUGGUCUGAAGUUUCAUGAUAAUGGUAGCUGAGUAACUAAUACAGGGUAUUGAGACAGAACUUUAGAUUUGAUAGAGUGGGGGAAGAAAGAAAUGAUGAGCUUAGUAUCAGUAAUUGUUCCAUAUCUUGUGAAAUGUAAAUGGAUUUUUUCACAAUCUAUCUGGCCCAUGCUUAUAUGCCCCCUAUUUGUGAACGGUGUAAAUUUCUCGUGUUUCUUUUUUUACCCAAAAAAACCAUCUUAUGAUGAAAUCUCAUCAAGUCCUCUAAUCUAUUUUUCAAAGAAUUGAAUGAUACUAGUGAAUAAUUUAAAAUAUCUUUUAAGUUGAAAUGAUAUAUAGGAAAAGGAAAGAGAGGAACAAUGCAAUUCUUUUAUUAUCAAGCAUUAAAUUUGUCUUACUAAUGAUAUAUUUCAUUGUUAUAUUGGUUCAUUCUUCCUUACAAGAACAAUCAAAAGCCAACAUAUCUAUCUUACUAAUGAUACAUCUCAUUGUUAUAUUGGCCAUUCUUCCUUAUAGGAACAUCAAAAGCCAACAUCGUGAACAGAGAAAAGAUGAAUACAAUAUAUAGGUGUGGUUCUAGGUCAAUCCCUGUUAGAGUAGAAAAACUGGCACGAGAAAAGAAGAUGUUACCUAAUCUAACAGAGUUUUACAAGGAAACUCAUUAUAACGAGAAAACACAUGACUGGAUCUCGUCUAAAGCUCAGUGUAAUUAUGAAAAUAUGAUACAGACAAAGGCUAAUCAACUCUCAUAGCCAGGAUCAAUCGCUUUGACUGCAGAAGAGCUGUCAGUCAAAGUCCUAAAGCCAAGGUCUAGUUAUGUGAAGGGACUUGGCAUGAGACCUUUAUCCUCUAUUAGGAGGACCACUACCAUAUAUGCUGAAACAAGUGAUUAUGUGAAGCGCCUUGAGAUGCAAAUAGAGACACAGAAGGAACAAAUACAAAUGCAGAAUAAUAAAAUAGAAGAUCUUGAAGAGGGUUAGAAGAAGCAGGGGGUGAUAAUGAUAGAUGUCGUCAACUUUCUGAGGAGCAAAGGAUUCACUGGACACUUUGGAAGUGGAUAGGACUCAUCCACAAGUGGACAUACUUCUUGAUUUGAUUGGGGUGGCAUUUUUGACGUGCAACAAUGAUGUAAUUUGCUUGAAUGUUCAUUUUUGUUUGGAUUACUAAUGUUUUUAAUCUUUUGUAUAAUUGAUUAGUUACUAAAGCUUUUAAUUUAUUUUUUUACAAAUUGGAUUAGGGUGGCAUUUUUGACGUGCAACAAUGAUGUAAUUUGCUUGAAUGUUCAUUUUUGUUUGGAUUACUAAUGUUUUUAAUCUUUUGUAUAAUUGAUUAGUUACUAAAGCUUUUAAUUUAUUUUUUUGCAAAUUGGAUUAUGGUGGCAUUUUUGACGUGCAACAAUGAUGUAAUUUGCAUGAAUGUUCAUUUUUGUUUGAUAAGGAUACACAUACUUUGUGGAGUUGCACUAGUUAUUAUUGAAUGUUUGGUGGAAUUGCAUUAGUUAUAACUUUUGGAUA